Odocoileus virginianus texanus is the source of this 2197-nucleotide non-coding RNA. The record is from RefSeq and is a predicted model, not a curated record. NCBI's taxonomy places the organism in Eukaryota, Metazoa, Chordata, Mammalia, Artiodactyla, Cervidae.
UGUUCCAAUUCUUCAGCGGGAUUGAAAAAAAAAUUAAAGGAAACAUUAGCAAAAGUUCCACCUAAUCAUGUGGGAAAGCCUUUAUUGAAGAAGCCAGUGGGACCGGCCCACUGGGAAAAGAUAGAAGCAAUUAACCAAGCUGUGGCCAAUGAAUAUGAAGUUCGGAGAAAGCUGCUAAUAAAACGUUUGGAUGUCACUGUCCAGUCUUUUGGCUGGUCUGACAGAGCUAAGAGUCAAACAGAAAAAUUGGCGAAGGUUUACCAGCCGAAACGCUCAGUCUUAUCUCCUAAAAGUACUAUUUCUGUUGCCCACCUUUUGGCUGCAAGACAAGACUUGUCAAAGAUCUUAAGGACGAGCAGUGGCUCUAUAAGAGAAAAGACUGCCUGUGCCAUCAAUAAGGUGUUGAUGGGCAGAGUUCCCGACAGAGGAGGUAGGCCCAAUGAAAUCAAACCUCCACCCCCAGAGAUGCCACCAUGGCAGAAAAGGCAAGAUGGCCCCCAGCAACCACAGGAGGACGAGGAGGCGGGCGAGGUGGUUAUGAACAUUCCUCAUAUGGAGGACGAGGAGGUCAUGAACAACAAGGAGGAGGGAGAGGUGGACGUGGUGGCGGCUAUGACCAUGGUGGCCGAGGGGGAGGAAGAGGAAAUAAGCAUCAAGGAGACUGGACAGAUGGAGGCAGUGGAGGAGGGGGUGGCUACCAAGAUGGCGGUUAUCGAGAUUCGGGUUUCCAGUCCGGUGGCUAUCAUGGUGGCCACAGUGGUGGCUAUCAGGGCGGUGGUUAUGGUGGCUUCCAAACAUCUACAUACACAGGAAGUGGAUACCAGGGUUGUGGAUAUCAGCAGGACAAUAGAUACCAAGAUGGUGGGCAUCACAGUGAUCGAGGCAGUGGUCGUGGAGGGAGAGGGGGUCGUGGAGGCCGAGGUGGACGCGCUGGCCAAGGAGGAGGUUGGGGAGGAAGAGGGAGUCAGAAUUAUCAUCAAGGGGGGCAAUUUGAACAGCACUUCCAGCAUGGAGGUUACCAGUAUAAUCAUUCUGGAUUUGGACAGGGAAGACAUUAUACUAGUUGAGGCUACAUAGAACCUUACAUUUUGCUAGAGCUCAAGUAAUAGAAACUUAGUUUCAGAAUCCUGAAUCCAGCGUUGAUUUUGAAUUAAUGUGAGACCACCGGUGACAGGCAGAUUCCUGCUUGGCAUAAGCAUUUGUAGGUCUUCAUACAAUACUGUUCUUUUUUUUUUUAAUGGACUUACAUAAUGCUGUUUAUUUGAGAAACACAUACAAUAUCUCUCCUUUGUAUGAAGAAUUUCUUAAAAGGUAAUUAAAACUGCCUUUAACUGACCAGUUUAGACUAAUUCCACAGUCAGAACAUGCGUAUUUUUCUGAAGAAAUUACUUGAAUAAGUAGUUUUCAUGUUUUCAAUAUGCAGUUUUGAAAAAUGAGAAUUCUUCUAGAUUUUUUUAGAUUUACAACUAGGAAACCUUCCUCAUAUUAACAAUCCAUUUAUAUGUGUUUUCCUUAAAGUAUUCUGAUGCCUAUUUUCCAAGCACAGUUCUGCGCUGAUUGGCUUUUUAUUCAGAGAGGUUAUGCAACAUUCGCUUCAUGAUAGAACUUUAAGGUCAGUUCCUAUUAAAUGAGCUCUUCUGCAGAUAGCACAUUCAGUAGCCUUAUCCUUUUGACAGAAUACUGUACCAUAUGCUCAACUCUGAAAACCUUGAACACGGCCAAAAUCCAUAAAGAUUAUAAAAGCAGACUAAGUUGUGAACCUAUAGUACAUGUAGUCAUUUAGUUAAGUUUAGCAAUUCAAACUGACCUGCAUCCAUUCAAAACAAGUUCCUCUUUCAACUUUAUUUUUACUUGAAAUCUGCUAGAAGAAACAGCAAACUGAAAUUUGUUUUAUGCACGAGUUAAAACCACUGGCUCAGCAGAUACAAGUUAGUUUGCUUUGGGCAGGAGACUUUUUGUAAUGAAAGAAAUGCACUACCAAGUAAGAGGACAGACUUUUGCUUAGAGCAGGAGGCCCUUUAUUAUUGCUGCAGAAAACAAAAGCCUGGCUGAGUUGAUGUUUGACACUCGCCGUUGCUGAAAUCUACAUGACGCUUCUUGCUGGGUUUUUGUACACGUAAAUACUGUCAAGCUGUGAAAGAAAAUGGCUGGAGGUGUGCUUUGUGUGAAAGGUGAGCAAUAAAGUAUCUGUAUGUUC